CCCUUAGAUGUUCUGGGCCGCACGCGCGCUACACUGAUGCGUUCAACAAGUUUCCUUGGCCGAGAGGCCUGGGCAAUCUUCUUAAUAUGUAUCGUGAUAGGGAUAGGUUAUUGCAAUUAUUAAUCUUGAACGAGGAAUUCCUAGUAAACGCAGAUCAUCAAUCUGCAUUGAUUACGUCCCUGCCCUUUGUACACACCGCCCGUCGCACCUACCGAUUGGAUGUUCCGGUGAAGCCUCGGGAUGAGGACUGGUGCCUUUAUUGGCAUGAGUUGUUCAGAACUUGUCUAAACCUUAUCAUCUAGAGGAAGGUGAAGUCGUAACA
This 322-nucleotide ribosomal RNA is filed under the name uncultured eukaryote. RNAcentral describes it as "partial 18S ribosomal RNA". It matches the Rfam family "Eukaryotic small subunit ribosomal RNA", at positions 1470 to 1796 of the family's 1831-position model. The record is from RNAcentral.